Long non-coding RNA from Lynx canadensis (Canada lynx), 563 nucleotides. RefSeq lists it as uncharacterized. The record is from RefSeq and is a predicted model, not a curated record. The transcript has 4 exons. Lineage: Eukaryota; Metazoa; Chordata; Mammalia; Carnivora; Felidae.
UCUCUGCCCCUCCCUGCUUGCACUCCCUCAAAAAUAAAUAAAAAUAUUAAAAAAAAAAAAAAGCUUGGUAUGCAUCCUUUCAGACUCUUACAACACAGAUGUUACAUAUACAACUGCAACUAAAAAUAUUUAUAUAAUUUAACACAUUUUAAAUAAGAUGGGUUCACAAUAUUUAUACUAUUUUGCAAACUGUGUCUUUUUCUUUCUUUUCUGCAGAAAAGAAUUAACACAACAAGCCUGAGGUUAUUGUCUUUAGAAGGGCCAACUUACAAGGCUGACCUGUAGCUGGUAUCUAGGAACUUGGCACUCCAACCAUUCCCUAAAUGGGGAAGGGGAACUUUUUCAAAAUUAUAUGGACUAGGGUGAGGACCACCACCUGGCUGGCUUCUGUACAGAACAUGAAAUGGUGCCGGCAGCACCCGAUCAUUACCCAUGCCACGCAGAAAACAGGUACCUCUGAAGGAUUUUAAGCAGGAGGAUGAUGGAAUCAAAAUCAAGUGCUCCAUGAAACGACCCCCGAGGGCAGGGGACACCUGGGUGGCUCAGUUGGUUAAGCAUCGGAC